GACGAACGCUGGCGGCGUGCUUAACACAUGCAAGUCGAACGGAAAGGCCCUGCUUUUGUGGGGUGCUCGAGUGGCGAACGGGUGAGUAACACGUGAGUAACCUGCACUUGACUUUGGGGUAACUUCAGGAAACUGGGGCUAAUACAGGAUAGGAGCUCCUGCUGCAUGGUGGGGGUUGGAAAGUUUCGGCGGUUGGGGAUGGACUAGCGGCUUAUCAGCCUGUUGGUGGGGUAGGGGCUUACCAAGGCUUUGACGGGUAGCCGGCAUGAGAGGGUGACCGGCCACAUUGGGACUGAGAUACGGACCAGACUCCUACGGGAGGCAGCAGUGGAGAAUAUUGCACAAUGGGCGGAAGCCUGAUGCAACAACGCCGCGUGCGGGAUGACGGCCUUCGGGUUGUAAACCGCUUUCGCCUGUGACAAAGCGUGAGUGACGGUAAUGGGUAAAGAAGCACCGGCUAACUACGUG
RNAcentral lists this ribosomal RNA (468 nucleotides) under uncultured bacterium. RNAcentral's name for it is "partial 16S ribosomal RNA". It matches the Rfam family "Bacterial small subunit ribosomal RNA", at positions 28 to 507 of the family's 1533-position model. The record is from RNAcentral.